RNAcentral lists this ribosomal RNA (558 nucleotides) under uncultured bacterium. RNAcentral describes it as "bacterial SSU rRNA". It matches the Rfam family "Bacterial small subunit ribosomal RNA", at positions 777 to 1304 of the family's 1533-position model. The record is from RNAcentral.
ACAAUAGACUACCCGGGUAGUCCACGCCCUAAACAUGCAUGCUUUGGUGUGGGGCCGUUUCAGUUCGGUCCGUGCCGGAGCUAACGCGUUAAGCAUGCCGCCUGGGGAGUACGGUCGCAAGGACUGAAACUCAAAGGAAUUGACGGGGGGCCCGCACAAGCGGUGGAGCGUGUGGUUCAAUUCGACGCAACGCGAAGAACCUUACCUGGGCUCGAACGGUCUUCCUAACGGCCGGUGAAAGCCGGCUAUCCCGUCAAGGGUAGUGGAGUUCGAGGUUGCUGCAUGGCUGUCGUCAGCUCGUGUCGUGAGAUGUUGGGUUAAGUCCCGCAACGAGCGCAACCCUUGUCCUGUGUUCGCAAACCCGUAAGGUUGGACUCGCAGGAGACCGCCAGCGAGUAAGGCUGGGAGGAAGGUGGGGAUGACGGUCAAGUCAUCAUGGUCCCUUUAUGUCCGAGGGGUCUACACUACGUGCUACAAGUGGACGGUACAAGUCGCCGACAACCCGGNGAGGGGGAGCAAACGUCGGUACAAAAACCCGUUCUCAGUUCGGAUUGCAGG